Molecule: ribosomal RNA, 260 nt
Filed under: uncultured archaeon
Lineage: Archaea
Description: partial 16S ribosomal RNA
Rfam family: Archaeal small subunit ribosomal RNA
Source: RNAcentral
GGAGAUACUAUUAGACUUGAAGUCGGGAGAGGUUAGAGGUACUACCGGGGUAGGGGUGAAAUCCUAUAAUCCUGGGAGGACCACCUGUGGCGAAGGCGUCUAACUGGAACGAUCUUGACGGUGAGUAACGAAAGCCAGGGGCGCGAACCGGAUUAGAUACCCGGGUAGUCCUGGCCGUAAACGAUGUGGACUUGGUGUUGGAAUGGCUUUGAGUUGUUCCGGUGCCGAAGGGAAGCUGUUAAGUCCACCGCCUGGGAAGU